GCAAGUCGAACGAGAAAGUGCCUUCGGGUACGAGUAGAGUGGCGCACGGGUGAGUAACACGUAGAUAACCUACCCUUUGAUGGGGGAUAACCAGGAGAAAUUCUGGCUAAUACCGCAUAAGUUGGUAACAAGAAAGGAUGCUUAGGCAUUCGUCGAAGGAUGGGUCUGCGGAACAUUAGUUUGAUGGUGGGGUAAUGGCCUACCAUGACUACGAUGUUUAGCUUGUCUGAGAGGAUGAUC
Molecule: ribosomal RNA, 240 nt
Filed under: uncultured bacterium
Lineage: Bacteria
Description: partial 16S ribosomal RNA
Rfam family: Bacterial small subunit ribosomal RNA
Source: RNAcentral